ACAAACCCGGAAACCCCCAACUGCCUCAUAUACUCUUAAACCCUAACUAAUUUUUUUUCCCUUCAUUCGAUCUGAAUUCUACACAAAUUCAUGGUGUCAUGGCUUAGAUUUCGAAUUCAAAUCUCAUUUCCCCUUGUGUUUCUCAUUAUUCUAUCACAAUAAUUGAUAUAUUUUGCCGAAAAUAAUUGUCUUCCUCUCAGAUCUGAUGGUUUGCGUUGAAAAUUGAUAUGCGAUAGCUAUUGUUCGUGUUCUCCUCAAAGAGAAAAAAAAAAAAAAAAAACAUCAAAUUACUCUUAUUGGAGCAGAGUCGAAUGGUUUAUAGGGUUAGAGAUUAUAACGUGGAGCUAAAGAAACUCCUGGAAAGAAGAGCUUGUAUCGAACUAAUUAAUGGGCAUUGCAGUUGGAUGCUAAUUAAGCACAGCUGAUCUUGACGAACUAUUUUGGUCCUCAGUAUGAAAUAGAGUAUACUGGUCUUCAGUAUGAAAUAGAGACACGAACUACGGCCACACUAAAUCAUUUAGUUCCUACCAAAGGAUCCACAAACAUCAAAGGGUGUGCUAUGAAUUCAAGGCAAACAAUGAUUCGAAACAAUAUGAACUUUGAUUUACGCCCCUUGCAAGCAGAUUAAGGAGCAGCUAAUUGGAGAUCGAUUGAAGUUUUUUUUUUUUUUUUUUUUUUUUUUUUUUUUUUUUUUUUUUUAAGAAAUGAGCAGAUUUGUUCCACUAUGUACUAGUCAUGAAUUACGUAUAGGUUGGAAUUAUAUUUCUUGUACUACCUAAUAGAAAACUCAUUACAAUGAAAUAUUGUACAUGUACUAUAACAUAUUUAUAUGCAAUAAAAAAAUUGGC
This is a long non-coding RNA of Chenopodium quinoa (quinoa), 848 nucleotides long. RefSeq lists it as uncharacterized. NCBI's taxonomy places the organism in Eukaryota, Viridiplantae, Streptophyta, Magnoliopsida, Caryophyllales, Amaranthaceae. The record is from RefSeq and is a predicted model, not a curated record. The transcript is spliced from 4 exons.